AGCUCCAAUAGUCUAUAUUAAAGUUGUUGUAGUUGAAAAGAUUGUAGUUUGAUGUCUUUUGGGAGCAAUCAAUAUGGCACUUUAUUUAGUAGCUUUCAUUUUCUCUGAACAUCCUUUGAAAGAAUCAGUAUGGCAUUAGGUUAUCGGGAUGAAGAUGUCCAUAUUUUACUGUAAUCAGAUUAGAGUUUUCAAAGCAGGCUUAAGACAUUGAAUAUAUUAGCAUGGAAUAAUGAUAUAGGACUUUGGUACUAUUUUUUUGCUUUAAUUACCAUAGUAAUGAUUAAUAGGGAUAGUUGAGGGUAUUUUUAUUCCAAUGUCAGAGGUAAAAUUCUUGAAGUUUUAGAAGACAAACUACUGCAAAAGCAUUUACCAAUGAUGUUUUCA
This 384-nucleotide ribosomal RNA is filed under the name uncultured eukaryote. RNAcentral's name for it is "SSU rRNA". It matches the Rfam family "Eukaryotic small subunit ribosomal RNA", at positions 587 to 972 of the family's 1831-position model. The record is from RNAcentral.